This 167-nucleotide ribosomal RNA is filed under the name Ixodes frontalis. RNAcentral's name for it is "partial 16S ribosomal RNA". The record is from RNAcentral. Lineage: Eukaryota; Metazoa; Arthropoda; Arachnida; Ixodida; Ixodidae.
CCCUGAUGCACAAGGUACUUUAAUAAACUUUUUAAAUUUUAAAAUUUAAAAAUAAAUAUAAAUUUCCUUUUCAGUAAAUUAAUCAAAAAAACUAUUCUAAUUAUUAUACAUAUUGUUUAUUACUUUAAUAAAUUUUCCUUUUUAUUAAAAGUUAUUUUAUAAAAUAU